Molecule: ribosomal RNA, 465 nt
Filed under: uncultured bacterium
Lineage: Bacteria
Description: bacterial SSU rRNA
Rfam family: Bacterial small subunit ribosomal RNA
Source: RNAcentral
AGAGUUUGAUCAUGGCUCAGGAUGAAUGCUGGCGGCGUGCCUAAUACAUGCAAGUCGAGCGGUAAGGCCCUUCGGGGUACACGAGCGGCGGACGGCUGAGUAACGCGUGGGAACAUGCCCCAAAGUGAGGGAUAACGCACCGAAAGGUGUGCUAAUACCGCAUAUGGUCUUCGGAUUAAAGGAUUUUAUCCGCUUUGGGAGUGGCCCGCGUACGAUUAGAUUGUUGGUGAGGUAACGGCUCACCAAGUCGACGAUCGUUAACUGGUCUGAGAGGAUGAUCAGUCAGACUGGAACUGAGACACGGUCCAGACUCCUACGGGAGGCAGCAGUAAGGAAUCUUCCACAAUGGGCGAAAGCCUGAUGGAGCAACGCCGCGUGCAGGAUGAAGGCCCUCGGGUCGUAAAACUGCUUUUAUGAGUGAAGAAUAUGACGGUAACUCAUGAAUAAGCACCGGCUAACUACGUG